ACUCCUACGGGAGGCAGCAGUGGGGAAUAUUGGACAAUGGGCGAAAGCCUGAUCCAGCAAUGCCGCGUGAGUGAUGAAGGCCUUAGGGUUGUAAAGCUCUUUUACCAGGGAUGAUAAUUGACAGUACCUGGAGAAUAAGCUCCGGCUAACUCCGUGCCAGCAGCCGCGGUAAUAC
This 175-nucleotide ribosomal RNA is filed under the name uncultured Lactobacillus sp. Its description in RNAcentral is "partial 16S ribosomal RNA". It matches the Rfam family "Bacterial small subunit ribosomal RNA", at positions 335 to 526 of the family's 1533-position model. Lineage: Bacteria; Bacillati; Bacillota; Bacilli; Lactobacillales; Lactobacillaceae. The record is from RNAcentral.